UAUUUUUAUAGUUCAAAGAGCAAUCUCUGCUAGAACCACUAUGCAGAUAUUAGAAGGAAUUCUGAUUAAAUCAAAGGA
This 78-nucleotide small nucleolar RNA is filed under the name Peptoniphilus sp. oral taxon 836 str. F0141. Its description in RNAcentral is "putative Small nucleolar RNA SNORD19". The record is from RNAcentral. Lineage: Bacteria; Bacillati; Bacillota; Tissierellia; Tissierellales; Peptoniphilaceae.